GUAUGACCGAGGGCGCCAUUUUGGAACACAAAUGUAAACAAACACUUAAACCUCGUGUAAUCGAUGCACACCGUGAUGCUUGAUUGCGAUAUGCUUACCUCGUGUAUCGAAACAUUGUUCUCAAUCACCUCUAACACGGAAAUCCCGGUCGAAAUCCACCUGAGCCAUCCACAACGAGGACGUCAAGUAUUUCGAAAACUCGAUUGGCAGCCGAAGGAAGGAAGAGCAGCUUGCAGAUGCCAGCAUGUUCAGGGUUUGUGGGGAGGUUCACAGACAUCCUCAGGGAGGAUACCAAGUAUUGAAAUGUCCGGAUGAAUAAAAGAGACAGUCAUCUGUGCAGCAUCAAUGCAAAGAAAGACAAUAGAAGAGCAACAGUGAGUGAAACUGAAGUCCUGCUUGAGAUCCCUGGAUGAGUACUCCAGGUUGACAGUCUGGAAGACCAGACAAGGGAGUCCUAAACAGAGACUGCACCCCUUCAGAUAUCAGAGGUGAUUUGCAGACAGCGAUGACGAGGGUCCUGUUAUUUCAAUGGAGGCCGACCGAGAAGUUGUAUGCCAAAUGGUACAGGGACACACAAAGGCUGGUCUGGCUAAUGUGACAAGACCAACCAAUGCCAAGCUGGAGUGGAAUUCUUCCAGGACUUUCAGGAAAUUCUUGUCUUGAGCCAUAUGGUAAACACUUGAAAGGAAUGAUAAAUGGGACUUAUUGUCUUUAAAUGUGGACCCAAACACCAAAUGGAAAGUUCACAAUUCUACUAACACAAUGCAGCAGAGAUAGAGUCUAACUGGUAUCCCCUCAUCCUGGUUCCUGUUCAUCCAUGGCAAUAUAGAAAGAAAAGGAGGAUUGAGGGAAAGUAAGUUCUCUGAACUGGUGAACAUAAUCCGUAGGUACUGUCAAGUGAACAGUUAUCACACUCUGUUAUGAGUAUUGAAGAAUAGGAUGAAAUUGCAUACUGCAUCAGGAACCAUCAUGUGAACACUAUUCAAUGUGCGAUAUACUAUAGGCAUAUGAAUAAAAGAAAUUGAUAAUUUGA
Molecule: long non-coding RNA, 1033 nt
Filed under: Haliotis rufescens (red abalone)
Lineage: Eukaryota; Metazoa; Mollusca; Gastropoda; Lepetellida; Haliotidae
Description: uncharacterized LOC125375198, transcript variant X2
Source: RNAcentral